Molecule: long non-coding RNA, 456 nt
Filed under: Dromaius novaehollandiae (emu)
Lineage: Eukaryota; Metazoa; Chordata; Aves; Casuariiformes; Dromaiidae
Description: lncRNA (ENSDNVG00000004572.1)
Source: RNAcentral
AAGGUCAUGUCUGGAUUCCACAAUAUACUGCAAACUUCUUAAGAUAAGCCUUUCUUCCCUGGACUGACUUCUGUUCACUGUGCAUGGGAACUGUUGGGUUCUGCCUCCCAGGUGCCCCGGUACCGUGCAGGCUGGCAGAUCAGCUGCUCCGACACGCAGUGGGACCCAGCUCUGUACAGCACCACCAAGUUGUGUGUUCACUGAAAACUGGAUACAAUCUGAGCAGGUCUAAAGCUAGAGGUAAUGGACCUUUUAAAGCCAUUGCCUUUCAAGCAAUAAAAAUAAUAAAAGUCCACAUAACUGCCAAGAUGACAUCAUGAACAAGGAAGCAUACAGAUGGGUUUAAAUGAAUGCAUUCAACAGGAGGAACUAUGUUUUCUUAUGAUCAAGAUUUAGUGAGCAAAUUAUAGAAAAGCAUAAGAAUAAACAGUUAUGCCACUCUGGGAUUGUUAAGCA